This 253-nucleotide ribosomal RNA is filed under the name uncultured bacterium. Its description in RNAcentral is "partial 16S ribosomal RNA". It matches the Rfam family "Bacterial small subunit ribosomal RNA", at positions 524 to 776 of the family's 1533-position model. The record is from RNAcentral.
UACGUAGGUGACCAGCGUUGUCCGGAUUUACUGGGCGUAAAGAGCGCGCAGGCGGUCGUUCAAGUCGAGUGUGAAAGCCCCCGGCUCAACUGGGGAGGGUCAUUCGAUACUGGUCGACUCGAAGGCAGGAGAGGGAAGUGGAAUUCCCGGUGUAGUGGUGAAAUGCGUAGAUAUCGGGAGGAACACCAGUGGCGAAGGCGACUUCCUGGCCUGUUCUUGACGCUGAGGCGCGAAAGCUAGGGGAGCAAACGGG